UACGUAGGGGGCAAGCGUUGUCCGGAAUCAUUGGGCGUAAAGAGCUCGUAGGCGGCUCGUUGCGUCGGCUGUGAAAACCCGCAGCUCAACUGUGGGCUUGCAGCCGAUACGGGCGGGCUGGGAUUCGGUAGGGGAGACUGGAAUUCCUGGUGUAGCGGUGAAAUUCGUAGAUAUCGAGAGGAACACCGGUGGCGAAGGCGGCCUUCUGGACAGUGACUGACGCUGAGACGCGAAAGCGUGGGGAGCAAACAGG
Molecule: ribosomal RNA, 253 nt
Filed under: uncultured bacterium
Lineage: Bacteria
Description: partial 16S ribosomal RNA
Rfam family: Bacterial small subunit ribosomal RNA
Source: RNAcentral